GAUCAUGGCUCAGGACGAACGCUGGCGGCGUGCCUAAUACAUGCAAGUAGAACGCUGAAGAGAGGAGCUUGCUCUUCUUGGAUGAGUUGCGAACGGGUGAGUAACGCGUAGGUAACCUGCCUUGUAGCGGGGGGAUAACUAUUGGAAACGAUAGCUAAUACCGCAUAACAAUGGAUGACACAUGUCAUUUAUUUUGUAAAGGGGUCGAAUUGCUCCACUACAAGAUGGACCUGCGUUG
This 238-nucleotide ribosomal RNA is filed under the name uncultured bacterium. Its description in RNAcentral is "partial 16S ribosomal RNA". It matches the Rfam family "Bacterial small subunit ribosomal RNA", at positions 15 to 238 of the family's 1533-position model. The record is from RNAcentral.